CGUAGGGUGCAAGCGUUAUCCGGAUUUAUUGGGCGUAAAGGGCGCGCAGGCUGCCACCAGCAGUGGCCCGUGGAAUCUCUCCGCUUAACGGAGAGGGGCCGGGCCAAACGGGGUGGCUUGGGGCAGGCAGAGGCAUGCAGAACGGGCGGAGUAGGGGUGAAGUCCGUAGAGACCGUCCGGAAUACCAGUGGCGAAGGCGGCAUGCUGGGCCUGAAGCCGUAAGGCUGAACCCGACGCUCGGGCGCGAAAGCGUGGGGAGCGAACGGAAUUAGAUACUCCGGUAGUCCACGCCCUAAACGAUGGCAACUCGGUGUCGGGGGUAUCGACCCCCCCGGCGCCCCAGCUAACGCGGUAAGUUGCCCGCCUGGGGACUACGGCCGCAAGGCUA
RNAcentral lists this ribosomal RNA (388 nucleotides) under uncultured organism. Its description in RNAcentral is "bacterial SSU rRNA". It matches the Rfam family "Bacterial small subunit ribosomal RNA", at positions 526 to 896 of the family's 1533-position model. The record is from RNAcentral.